This 496-nucleotide ribosomal RNA is filed under the name uncultured bacterium. Its description in RNAcentral is "partial 16S ribosomal RNA". It matches the Rfam family "Bacterial small subunit ribosomal RNA", at positions 29 to 507 of the family's 1533-position model. The record is from RNAcentral.
AUGCACGCUGGCGGCGUGCCUAAUCCAUGCAAGUCGAGCGAACAGACGAGGAGCUUGCUCCUUCGACGUUAGCGGCGGACGGGUGAGUAACACGUAGGUAACCUACCUAUAAGACUGGGAUAACUUCGGGAAACCGGAGCUAAUACCGGAUAAUAUUUCGAACCGCAUGGUUCGAUAGUGAAAGAUGGCUUUGCUAUCACUUAUAGAUGGACCUGCGCCGUAUUAGCUAGUUGGUAAGGUAACGGCUUACCAAGGCAACGAUACGUAGCCGACCUGAGAGGGUGAUCGGCCACACUGGAACUGAGACACGGUCCAGACUCCUACGGGAGGCAGCAGUAGGGAAUCUUCCGCAAUGGGCGAAAGCCUGACGGAGCAACGCCGCGUGAGUGAUGAAGGUCUUCGGAUCGUAAAACUCUGUUAUUAGGGAAGAACAAACGUGUAAGUAACUGUGCACGUCUUGACGGUACCUAAUCAGAAAGCCACGGCUAACUACGUG